AGGGCUGCAGAGAGAGAGAGGUAGGGUCUGAUCUGCAGCCUCAGUGGCAGCUGUUGAUAAGCCCUUGCCUCUCUCUUUCUCUCUG
Molecule: non-coding RNA, 85 nt
Organism: Myotis lucifugus (little brown bat)
Lineage: Eukaryota; Metazoa; Chordata; Mammalia; Chiroptera; Vespertilionidae
Source: Rfam